This 577-nucleotide ribosomal RNA is filed under the name Pediococcus acidilactici. RNAcentral's name for it is "bacterial SSU rRNA". The record is from RNAcentral. Lineage: Bacteria; Bacillati; Bacillota; Bacilli; Lactobacillales; Lactobacillaceae.
UGAGAUUUUAACACGAAGUGAGUGGCGRACGGGUGAGUAACACGUGGGUAACCUGCCCAGAAGYAGGGGAUAACACCUGGAAACAGAUGCUAAUACCGUAUAACAGAGAAAACCGCCUGGUUUUCUUUUAAAAGAUGGCUCUGCUAUCACUUCUGGAUGGACCCGCGGCGCAUUAGCUAGUUGGUGAGGUAACGGCUCACCAAGGCRAUGAUGCGUAGCCGACCUGAGAGGGUAAUCGGCCACAUUGGGACUGAGACACGGCCCAGACUCCUACGGGAGGCAGCAGUAGGGAAUCUUCCACAAUGGACGCAAGUCUGAUGGAGCAACGCCGCGUGAGUGAAGAAGGGUUUCGGCUCGUAAAGCUCUGUUGUUAAAGAAGAACGUGGGUGAGAGUAACUGUUYACCCAGUGACGGUAUUUAACCAGAAAGCCACGGCUAACUACGUGCCAGCAGCCGCGGUAAUACGUAGGUGGCAAGCGUUAUCCGGAUUUAUUGGGCGUAAAGCGAGCGCAGGCGGUCUUUUAAGUCUAAUGUGAAAGCCUUCGGCUCAACCGAAGAAGUGCAUUGGAAACUGGGA